RNAcentral lists this ribosomal RNA (433 nucleotides) under uncultured bacterium. RNAcentral describes it as "partial 16S ribosomal RNA". It matches the Rfam family "Bacterial small subunit ribosomal RNA", at positions 29 to 507 of the family's 1533-position model. The record is from RNAcentral.
AGCGAACGCUGGCGGCAGGCCUAACACAUGCAAGUCGAACGAACUCUUCGGAGUUAGUGGCGGACGGGUGAGUAACACGUGGGAACGUGCCUUUUGGUUCGGAAUAACUCAGGGAAACUUGUGCUAAUACCGAAUGUGCCCUUCGGGGGAAAGAUUUAUCGCCAUUAGAGCGGCCCGCGUCUGAUUAGCUAGUUGGUGAGGUAACGGCUCACCAAGGCGACGAUCAGUAGCUGGUCUGAGAGGAUGACCAGCCACACUGGGACUGAGACACGGCCCAGACUCCUACGGGAGGCAGCAGUGGGGAAUCUUGCGCAAUGGGCGAAAGCCUGACGAAGCCAUGCCGCGUGAAUGAUGAAGGUCUUAGGAUUGUAAAAUUCUUUCACCGGGGACGAUAAUGACGGUACCCGGAGAAGAAGCCCCGGCUAACUUCGUG